CGGCUACGGGGUAGUAAGGCAUCGGAACGUACCUUUUCGUCUGGGAUAGCCAUGGGAAACUGUGAGUAAUACCGGACAAUAUCUUCGGAUCAAAGGUUUACUGCGAUUAGAGCGGCCGAUGUGAGACUAGGUAGUUGGUAGGGUAAUGGCCUACCAAGCCAGAGAUCUCUAGGGGGUGUGAGAGCAUGACCCCCACCACUGGAACUGAGACACUGUCCAGACACCUACGGGUGGCUGCAGUCGAGAAUCUUCGGCAAUGGGCGAAAGCCUGACCGAGCGACGCUGCGUGCGGGAUGAAGGCCCUUGGGUUGUAAACCGCUGUCAGAGGGGAUCAAAGGAAACUUGAGAGAGCCUCAGAGGAAGCGCGGGCUAAGUUCGUGCCAGCAGCCGCGGUAAUACGAACUGCGCAAACGUUAUUCGGAAUCACUGGGCUUACAGGGUGCGUAGGCGGUUCGCCAGGUCAGAUGUGAAAUCCCACAGCUCAACUGUGGAACUGCAUUUGAAACCUGCGAACUUGAGUAGACUAGAGGUACACGGAACUUCAGGUGGAGCGGUGAAAUGUGUUGAGAUCUGAAGGAACACCAGAGGCGAAAGCGGUGUACUGGAGUCUGUCUGACGCUGAGGCACGAAAGCUAGGGGAGCGAACGGGGUUAGAUACCCCGGUAGUCCUAGCCGUAAA
Molecule: ribosomal RNA, 679 nt
Filed under: uncultured Planctomycetota bacterium
Lineage: Bacteria; Pseudomonadati; Planctomycetota
Description: bacterial SSU rRNA
Rfam family: Bacterial small subunit ribosomal RNA
Source: RNAcentral